GCCUUGAAGCAAUGUUGACCUUACGAAUCGUGUCAGGUUCGGAAGAAAGCAGCACUAAGUUCGGAUUGGCAUGUGCUUCAAGUUAUU
Molecule: signal recognition particle RNA, 87 nt
Filed under: Ligilactobacillus ubinensis
Lineage: Bacteria; Bacillati; Bacillota; Bacilli; Lactobacillales; Lactobacillaceae
Description: Bacterial small signal recognition particle RNA
Rfam family: Bacterial small signal recognition particle RNA
About the family: The signal recognition particle (SRP) is a universally conserved ribonucleoprotein involved in the co-translational targeting of proteins to membranes. Archaeal SRP consists of a 7S RNA and homologues of the eukaryotic SRP19 and SRP54 proteins. In most bacteria, the SRP consists of a 4.5S RNA and the Ffh protein (a homologue of the eukaryotic SRP54 protein).
Source: Rfam by way of RNAcentral